AGAGAGAGACAUGCGCGCAUAUCAAUAAGCGGAGGAAAAGAAACUAACUAGGAUUCCCUCAGUAACGGCGAGUGAAGCGGGAAGAGCUCAAAUUUGAAAUCUUCAAGGUUCUACCUUGACGAAUUGUAGUUUAAAGAAGUGUUUUCUGCUGAAGUUUUGGUAAAAGUUCUUUGGAAUAGGACAUCAUAGAGGGUGAGAAUCCCGUAUUUGACCAUUAUUUUCAGCUUUGUGAUACACUUUCAAAGAGUCGGAUUGUUUGGGAAUGCAGUCCAAAAUGGGUGGUAAAUUUCAUCUAAAGCUAAGUAUUGGCGAGAGACCGAUAGCGAACAAGUACCGUGAGGGAAAGAUGAAAAGAACUUUGAAAAGAGAGUUAAACAGUACGUGAAAUUGUCAAAAGGGAAGCGUUUGACACCAGUGUUGUUUUCUCGAAAAUCAAUUAAAAAUGGCUCGAUUUUGUAUUGCUUGAGACCUUAAAAGCUCACUGUACAUUUUUCGUGUCUUUUUUAAUGCACUUUUCGUUUAACAAGUCAACAUCAGUUUCUUUUGUUGUAAAAGGGUCAUUGGAAGGUGGCUUUCUUUUCGGAGAAAGUGUUUAUAGCCUUUGGCCUCUGCAAUCGAAGAGACUGAGGUCUGCAGCGUAGACUCUUCGGGGUUAGAUACAUUUGUGCUAAGUUAUAGCUUUUUAUAGACAACUUGUUGACUAUAAUUAGUCUUGUAGCUUACUCGCUUAUGCUAUUUUACCUACGCUUAGGAUGUUGAAGAUGUAGCACAUCAU
Molecule: ribosomal RNA, 775 nt
Filed under: uncultured Neocallimastigales
Lineage: Eukaryota; Fungi; Neocallimastigomycota; Neocallimastigomycetes; Neocallimastigales
Description: partial large subunit ribosomal RNA
Rfam family: Eukaryotic large subunit ribosomal RNA
Source: RNAcentral